GACCGGUCAUCAGAGUUCUGUGGAGUCAUCGUCCACCGGUUCCCACGCACCUAUGCGCCGUCUCGCACUAUGGUCGGGGGGUUAAAAAACCCUCCCCUUUUCAAGCGUAAUACAUGUAACUUUCUUUCCUUUCUAAAACCUCAAUAAUUUAGAACGAUUUAUAUAUGCAUGCUAAAAUAAGAACAAGGUACACGAUUAAAUCACCUUUAGAAACUAUUUGUAUUUCUCUGAAUCGAAUAUAUGUAAGUAUAUUUCUAUUCUGUCAAAAAUCUGGUCCUCUUUUACAUUCGGCUUUUAUAGCCACUAUUUAUUACAAAAAUCUAGGAAAGAAAGCUUUUUAUAUCUUUCCAUAUUUUCUUUGCUUGCUGCUGUGGUUCUUUCUUUCUUUGCAGGUGCUCGCGAAAAAUCCGGUGAUGGAAGGAUCGCUGGCGUUGAUAGAAGCCUAAAUUCUGGCGGUGGUGUCGAUGAGGCGCUGAUUACGGAGGCAGAGCCUUGAGUGAUGGCCUCGAUUGGGGAGCUGGACAGACGCUUCCCGAACCUUCCAGAACCAGUUGCGGCACGAGGGGAAAGAGCUAGGGUUAGAAACCCUAGCUGGAAAUUUUAGGUUUUGGGCCGUUGUAUUGGGUCAAAGGUGUAAUGGGCAUAGGAUAGGCUUACGGGGUAUUUGGGCUACCAGUCUGCUAGGUCUAGGUUAA
Molecule: long non-coding RNA, 695 nt
Filed under: Gossypium barbadense (sea-island cotton)
Lineage: Eukaryota; Viridiplantae; Streptophyta; Magnoliopsida; Malvales; Malvaceae
Description: long non-coding RNA (GBAR_LNC011749)
Source: RNAcentral